RNAcentral lists this ribosomal RNA (2407 nucleotides) under human gut metagenome. RNAcentral describes it as "bacterial LSU rRNA". The stretch from base 1029 to 2407 matches the Rfam family "Bacterial large subunit ribosomal RNA". The record is from RNAcentral.
CUUAGCGAAUAAAAACAUUAAACAGAUGAAUAAAGUGAUGAUAAACAUACUCAAGAACAGCCUUUACGCAUUGCUGAAAAAGUUACAGAAAAAGGACUUCACGCCAAUCAUCAACAUACACGUAGAAAAGAGACUGAACGGGACAAUCUUCCUCUGCAUUCGCGACAACGGCAUCGGCAUCGAAGACAAUAUCAAAGCCAAGAUAUUCGAACCGUUUUUCACCACGAAGCCCACUGCCGAGGCAGCGGGUGUCGGCUUGUAUCUCUGCCGUGAGGUGAUCUUGAACCACCAAGGCUCCAUCAUCGUGAAAAGCGAGAAGGACAACUUUACCGAGUUUAUGAUUACGAUUCCUAUUUAUCAAAAAAGCAACAACAAUGAAUGAGGACAGUAUGAAAGAGUUAGAACGUCUGAGAAAACAGAUUAGCCAACAGGAAAAGAUGGCUUCACUCGGACUGUUGAGCGCAGGUAUCGCACAUGAGAUACAGAACCCGCUCAACUUCGUGAUCAACUUCAGCAAACUAUCAUGUAAGUUGCUGCAAGAUAUGGAAGACGUAUUGGACGAACUGGAAAGCAAGCUCUCUGCCGAGGUGGACGAGGAGAUUAGGGAAAUCAUGGACGACCUCAAAAGCAACAUGUGCAAGAUCGAGGAAAACGGCAACCGGGCAUCAAGUAUCGUCCGAGGCAUCCUGCUCUAUUCCCGCGGCAAGGACAACGAAUACAUACCGACUGACAUCUGCCAGCUGACAAAAGAAUAUGUAUGGCUUUCCUACCAUGCUGUCCGCGCCAAUAACAAGAGCUUCAAUGUUACCAUCAUAGAAGAAUACGACAAUACACUCCCGUUGGUCAAAGUAAUCCCGCAGGACUUCAGCCGCGCUGUUCUCAACCUGAUGAACAACGCCUGUUAUGCUGUCUUCAGCAAAUCCAAAGGUGUCGCUGAAAAUCCUUAUAGUCCGACCAUCAAGGUAAGACUGGCAAAAGACAGCGACCGGGUACGGUUGGUUAUCGAAGACAACGGCCCGGGAAUCACGAAGGAGGUCAAAGAGAAACUUUAUACGCCGUUCUUCACCACCAAACCGGUCGGAGAAGGAACCGGUCUCGGCCUCUCUAUCACCAAGUCGAUCAUCGAACAAAAACAUAACGGAACGAUCGAGAUGGAAUCGGAGCCGAACGAAUUCACCCGUUUCACAAUCACCAUUCCGAUUAAAUAAUCAGAGAAACAACGCUACUAUGGCUAUAAAAAUAUUAAGUGUAGACGACGAACUUGACCUGGAAAUAUUGCUGACUCAAUAUUUCCGGCGCAAAAUAAAGAAAGGUGAAUACGAAUUCCAUUUCGCCCACAACGGACUGGAAGCACUCCAAAUGCUGCUUGCCAUGCCGCUGGAAGGUUAAGAGGGGAUGUCAUCGCAAGAGAAGCAUUGAAUCGAAGCCCCAGUAAACGGCGGCCGUAACUAUAACGGUCCUAAGGUAGCGAAAUUCCUUGUCGGGUAAGUUCCGACCUGCACGAAUGGUGUAACGAUCUGGACACUGUCUCAACCGUGAGCUCGGUGAAAUUGUAGUCCCGGUGAUGAUGCCGGGUACCCGCAACGGGACGAAAAGACCCCGUGAACCUUUACUAUAGCUUAACGCUGAAUUUGGGUACACAAUGUGUAGGAUAGGCCGGAGGCUUUGAAGCGGGCACGCCAGUGUUCGUGGAGCCGACGUUGAAAUACGGCCCUUUGUGUAUUUGAGUUCUAACCCUGCGAAGGGGACACCGUUUGGUGGGUAGUUUGACUGGGGUGGUCGCCUCCAAAAGCGUAACGGAGGCUUCCCAAGGUACCCUCAGCACGAAUGGUAACCGUGCGCGGAGUGCAAUAGCAUAAGGGUGCUUGACUGUGAGACAUACAAGUCGACCAGGUACGAAAGUAGGGUAUAGUGAUCCGGUGGUUCUGCGUGGACUGGCCAUCGCUCAAAGGAUAAAAGGUACUCCGGGGAUAACAGGCUGAUCGCCGCCAAGAGCUCAUAUCGACGCGGCGGUUUGGCACCUCGAUGUCGGCUCGUCACAUCCUGGGGCUGGAGAAGGUCCCAAGGGUUCGGCUGUUCGCCGAUUAAAGUGGCACGCGAGCUGGGUUCAGAACGUCGUGAGACAGUUCGGUCUCUAUCUGUUGCGGGCGUAGGAAGAUUGAGGGGUCCUGACUUUAGUACGAGAGGACCGAGUUGGACGAACCUCCGGUGUAUCGGUUAUGCUGCCAAGUGUACUGCCGAGUAGCCGCGUUCGGUCUGGAUAAGCGCUGAAAGCAUCUAAGCGCGAAGCCAUCCCCGAGAUAAGUCUUCCCUUGAGGGGCGUAGGAGACUACUACGUUGAUAGGCUGCAGGUGUAAAGACAGCAAUGUCAAAGCCGAGCAGUACUAAUUACCCGAUAGGCUUUCUU